This 879-nucleotide ribosomal RNA is filed under the name Nectriella pironii. RNAcentral describes it as "partial large subunit ribosomal RNA". It matches the Rfam family "Eukaryotic large subunit ribosomal RNA", at positions 77 to 943 of the family's 3401-position model. The record is from RNAcentral. Lineage: Eukaryota; Fungi; Ascomycota; Sordariomycetes; Hypocreales; Bionectriaceae.
GCCUUAGUAACGGCGAGUGAAGCGGCAACAGCUCAAUUUGAAAUCUGGCCCUAGGCCCGAGUUGUAAUUUGCAGAGGAUGCUUUUGGCGCGGUGCCUUCCGAGUUCCCUGGAACGGGACGCCAUAGAGGGUGAGAGCCCCGUCUGGUCGGACACCAAGCCUCUGUAAAGCUCCUUCGACGAGUCGAGUAGUUUGGGAAUGCUGCUCAAAAUGGGAGGUAUAUGUCUUCUAAAGCUAAAUACCGGCCAGAGACCGAUAGCGCACAAGUAGAGUGAUCGAAAGAUGAAAAGCACUUUGAAAAGAGAGUUAAAUAGCACGUGAAAUUGUUGAAAGGGAAGCGUUCAUGACCAGACUUGGCCCGGUUGAUCAUCCAGCGUUCUCGCUGGUGCACUCUGCCGGUCCAGGCCAGCAUCAGUUCGUCGCGGGGGAUAAAGGCUUCGGGAAUGUAGCUCCCCUCGGGGAGUGUUAUAGCCCGCUGCGUAAUACCCUGCGGUGGACUGAGGUCCGCGCUCUGCAAGGAUGCUGGCGUAAUGGUCAUCAACGACCCGUCUUGAAACACGGACCAGGGAGUCGUCUUUCGUAUGCGAGUGUUCCGGGGGUCAAACCCCUACGCCGUAAUGAAAGUGAAACGCAGGUUAAAAGCUUCGGGGGCAUUCAUCGAACCGAUGCCUGAAGGUUCUUCGGAAGGGAUUUUGAAGUAAAAAACUUACCGGGGCCCGGAACCCGAAAAGAAAGGGGGAACUUAUGCCCUGUAUAAGGGUGGAAAGCCCAAAGGAAAAAUUUUUGGGGGGAAGGUUCCCGAAACGGUUUCUUAACGGGGCAAAUUCGAACUGCCCAAAAUUGGGGGCUUGGGGGGGCCAAAAAACAAUAAAGGAAACCU